RNAcentral lists this ribosomal RNA (465 nucleotides) under uncultured bacterium. RNAcentral describes it as "partial 16S ribosomal RNA". It matches the Rfam family "Bacterial small subunit ribosomal RNA", at positions 28 to 507 of the family's 1533-position model. The record is from RNAcentral.
GACGAACGCUGGCGGCGUGCUUAACACAUGCAAGUCGAACGGAAAGGCCCUGCUUUUAGGGUACUCGAGUUGCGAACGGGUGAGUAACACGCGGGUGAUCUGCCCUCCACUUCGGCUUAAGCCUGGGCAACUGGGUCUAAUACCGGCCAGGAGCCAUUUUUAGCGUGAUGGUUGGAAAGUUUUUUCGGUGUAUGAUGAGCUCGCGGCCUAUCAGCUUGUUGGUGGGGUAAUGGGCUACCAAGGCGGCGUCGUGUAGCCGGCCUGCGUGGGUGGACUGCCACACAGGGUCUGAGGUGCGGCCCAGGCAGGGACUGGAGGGAGCAGGGCGGAAUACUGCACGAUGGGCGCAGGGCGGGUGCAGAGAGUCCGCGUGGGGGAUGACGGUCUUCGGGGUGUAAAACACUUGUGCAAGGGACUAAGCUCUUUGUGACGGUACCUAGAUAGAAAGCACCGGCUAACUACGUG